AUGGUUUCUUGGUCUGAGCCUUCCGACUGUUCCGACUCUUCCUCUGACGAUGUGAGCCGGGUACCUGCCAAAAUGGAGUGCACGGAAUGGAGCGGCAUUGCUUUGAAUCAUCCUGCACGUUGUGAGCAUCGUGCGCCCUGUGAGAAGUUUGUUGCCUUUGAAUGGACUGACAGUGGCAGGAGGUUCCUGGGGUGUGGGAAAAAGGAUGUACCCAAGUGCAACUUUGUGGACUGGAUUGACCCAGAGUGGCCAGUCCAAUUGAAGCAAGCUUUAAAUACCAUCUGGACUAUGCAUGAGGAGGAGUUGACCAAUAGGUUGAGGCAGAAUGUUGUUAAUGCUGAAGAAGUAGUGAAGGUAAUGGAAGAGAAGAGGAAGAUGGAAAAUGACCUGAGGUUUUUUAAAGUUGACUUUGCCAAAAUGGUGGCUGACAAGGAGGAUGCAAUUACCCAGUUAGGCAAUGCAAGGUUGGUUAUUAGUGACCUGAAGGAACAAAUCGAGAGAAAGAACUUGGCUGACAAAUCAGACACUAACAUUCAUCAAGUGCUGAGGGCCAAAGCAGAGGAAGAGAGAGACCAAGAGAAGGAAGAGAAGGUGAAGCUUGUGCAGGAGAUGGACAAGAUCAAGUAG
This 627-nucleotide ribosomal RNA is filed under the name Triticum aestivum (bread wheat). RNAcentral's name for it is "partial small subunit ribosomal RNA". Lineage: Eukaryota; Viridiplantae; Streptophyta; Magnoliopsida; Poales; Poaceae. The record is from RNAcentral.